UCGAAACCUGCGCAAGCAGACAGACCCGUGAACCUGUUUCUAACGAAUGCGUCCGGCCCCCCGGCCGGGCACCAACCCAACACCGGCGCGGAUUGCGCCAAGGAACACGAACCGCAGCGCCCCCUGGGAGGCCCGGUCCUCCGGAGCCCUCCCGGCGGCGGCGUGUCGUUUCUGACUAACAAGAACGACUCUCGGCAACGGAUAUCUCGGCUCUCGCAUCGAUGAAGAACGUAGCGAAAUGCGAUACUUGGUGUGAAUUGCAGAAUCCCGUGAACCAUCGAGUCUUUGAACGCAAGUUGCGCCCGAAGCCUUCUGGCCGAGGGCACGUCUGUCUGGGCGUCACGCACAGCGUCGCCCCCCUCCCCAACCCGGAGGAGCUGGGCGGAGACUGGCCCCCCGUGUGCCNACAGCGCGCGGCCGGCCUAAACGCAGACCCCGCGGCCGCGAGACGGCGCGACGAUUGGUGGCGUACUUCAUGGCAUCGCGUCGUGCCCUCUGCGGCCGUCGGGAGCUCAUCGGCGGAGACCGCGGACCCCGGUCCACCGUUGCGACCCCAGAUCAGGCGGGACUACCCGCUGAGUUUA
Molecule: ribosomal RNA, 584 nt
Filed under: Rumex spinosus
Lineage: Eukaryota; Viridiplantae; Streptophyta; Magnoliopsida; Caryophyllales; Polygonaceae
Description: eukaryotic LSU rRNA
Rfam family: 5.8S ribosomal RNA (bases 187-342)
Source: RNAcentral